GGGGAGGAUAUUUGUAAUAGCUAAUAGCUAGCAAGACGGAAAAAUUAUAAGAACUAAAGAGAUGAGAAGCUUCUUCAGUUUUUAUGGUCGUAGCCAUGGUCACAAAGAAGAAUAAAUAGGAGACGAGUAGAAAAGAAACUUUUGCACCAAGUAGUUGCUGAUUAUUAACCUACAACACGUGCAUCUUCUUUGAAAUAAUUAAGCAUGUUACCAAACAGUAAACUAUAUUUUUAUUAUGAUAAGAGGUUAAAACUAGCAUAUAUGCUACCCACAACAGGCAUGUCCCAGUGAAAAUGAUGCUUCACUAUGCUGGACUGUGAGGUGAAAUACUUUGUGCUUGAUAUUUUUUUCUAUGUUCACCAUAACAUAGUACAUGAUGGGGUAUAUCUAUGGGUUUCCG
RNAcentral lists this long non-coding RNA (400 nucleotides) under Setaria viridis. RNAcentral's name for it is "long non-coding RNA (SVIR_LNC001972)". The record is from RNAcentral. Lineage: Eukaryota; Viridiplantae; Streptophyta; Magnoliopsida; Poales; Poaceae.